UCUAAUGUGACAGAAAAUGUGAUGAAUUUAAGAUUCAUUCAUAAAUAUUAAUAUUUCUUUAGAA
RNAcentral lists this transfer RNA (64 nucleotides) under Stegaspis fronditia. RNAcentral describes it as "tRNA-Leu". Lineage: Eukaryota; Metazoa; Arthropoda; Insecta; Hemiptera; Membracidae. The record is from RNAcentral.